UUAUAUUCAGCUCCUUUACUGUGUUGCUUCGCCUACUCCUUCUCAAUGGCUGCUCUUGGAAAUCUUUAAUUUGUGCUUCUUUUGCUAUGGGUGAUAUACCCCUUACCUCGAUUGGAUCCAGUAUUUUGUCUUUCAGAUUGUGAGAAUGUGAUCUCUAAAGUGAGGGUAUACAUGAUGCUCAAACCCACGUGUAGUUGACAAAAACCAAAAGGAUUACCUCAUGAAAGAGUACGACCAAGUUCGAUUCAUGGCCUCCGAGUGCCACACUAAAUACUAUGGUGUUCUUCCGAGAAUGAAGAUGCUUCUGGAGAGAGGAAUAUACUUGGAGAAAGUAUAAAAAAUCUUCCAAAAUUUCAUGAUAUACUUGUGGCCAAUGGGUGGUGAUGCUUCGCCUCGGAUCCUUGCAAAGCAAAUGAGCAGUGGUUCCGGGAGUUCUAUGCUAACCUUAGCAUAGCAUCUUUCUUAGAACCAUCCACCAUGAUGAUCAAGAUCCAGGGAAAGGUGGUAGACUUUAGGGUAGAGCAAAUCAAUGAUCUAUAUGGGCUCCUAAACGCAAACAUAGCCGACUUUGAGGCUAAGGGGUAUGAGCCGGGCAGCUGGUUGGCGGAGAGAUUAUGCCCGGGAAAGAAAGUCUUUUGUGCAGAUACCAAAAGAAAUAUAUCAAUAAAUGAUUUCACUGUCGAGGACCGGGUUUGGUUGAACAUCAUCUGUAGCCGAGUCUCUCCUUACACCCACAUGACAGUUGUUCCAGACAUGCAGGCUUGGAUGGUUGCUUGCAUUUUAGGAGGCAUUUCUUUAAAUAUCAGUCAGCUCAUGGUCUCAGACAUGAAAUUAUUGAGGAACCAUGAUAGUACGCGUCUCUCCUUCACCUUUUUGAUUACUGAGCUUUACAGGAGAACAGAGGUCGAGGAGUACUUUGGAGAUACAUGGGUACGCCUAGGAACCCCCAUCUAUCCUCUAAAAAUUUAAGGUGAGGGCACACCCGUCAAGAGCAAAAAGAAGAAGAUCAGCUUGGACAAGUAACAGUUGAGGAGUCAGAGUCUUGCAGACCAUCCGCCGCCAACCCCUUUGAUAAUAUUUUUGAUAAGAUGAGGGUCAUCAAGGAACUUGUGUCGGUAUUUUUUCCCAGAGGCCGGGAGAGCCCUCUACUGGCUGCCACUCAUAUGUGUUCCACUCUGAUUAUGAGAGGUAUCAAAAGUACCAGAAGAAGCAGGUAACUACGACUUGAGAGAGCCUACUUAUCCUUGGAAGAGUCGCACCGAGAUCUUCGAGCCUCGCAUGACAAGAUGAUUAAAAGGGAGAACAAGAGAGAAAAAUUCUUUAAUAAGAUUUGGAAAGGGGUAAAGGGCCUUUGGAAGGUCCUAAAACCCUGAGACAUACUACCUUCCUCCCAAUUUGAGAGCGAUGAUGAGUCCCCAGCUGAGUGGUCAGGUCCUGAGGAUGCAGAUGAUGAUACAGAGUUUGAGGGCGAGAGUAACUCUUGAUGCGAUUUCAAGGAGCACCCUUAUUUCUUCUUAUGCUUUAUUAUUUAUGUAGUGAGGACAUUACAAACUUUUUUGUUAGGGGUGAUUGUCUCCACAUUUAUUUAUUUGGGCCUGUAUUAUUGAUAUUUCUAAAUAUUUUGAUGUUAUUUUAGAUGUUUUUUAUUU
Molecule: long non-coding RNA, 1649 nt
Organism: Capsicum annuum
Lineage: Eukaryota; Viridiplantae; Streptophyta; Magnoliopsida; Solanales; Solanaceae
Exons: 3
Source: RefSeq, a predicted model, not a curated record